This is a long non-coding RNA of Sapajus apella (tufted capuchin), 206 nucleotides long. RefSeq lists it as uncharacterized. The transcript is spliced from 2 exons. NCBI's taxonomy places the organism in Eukaryota, Metazoa, Chordata, Mammalia, Primates, Cebidae. The record is from RefSeq and is a predicted model, not a curated record.
AAAAAAAAAAAAAAAAAAAAAAAAAAAAGAUUUCCAAGUACUAGAUGUUACCAUUGAACAAAAGGGUCUCAUGUGAAUGAAGGAGGUUUCUGUUACCAUAUGCCCAUAAAGGGGCCUGAAACCAAAUAUGGUUUGAAUAGAAAAAACCUUGGGAAACAUAAGUAGCACUUUGGGGCUAAGCUGCAAAGGCACUCGUAUUAUACAAA